RNAcentral lists this ribosomal RNA (324 nucleotides) under uncultured bacterium. RNAcentral describes it as "bacterial SSU rRNA". It matches the Rfam family "Bacterial small subunit ribosomal RNA", at positions 28 to 334 of the family's 1533-position model. The record is from RNAcentral.
GAUGAACGCUGGCGGCGUGCCUAACACAUGCAAGUCGAGCGAAGCGAUCUGAUGGAAGUUUUCGGAUGGAAGUCAGAUUGACUGAGCGGCGGACGGGUGAGUAACGCGUGGGUAACCUGCCUCAUACAGGGGGAUAACAGUUAGAAAUGGCUGCUAAUACCGCAUAAGCACACAGGACCGCAUGGUCCGGUGUGAAAAACUCCGGUGGUAUGAGAUGGACCCGCGUCUGAUUAGCUAGUUGGUAAGGUAACGGCUUACCAAGGCAACGAUCAGUAGCCGACCUGAGAGGUUGAACGGCCACAUUGGGACUGAGACACGGCCCAG